This is a non-coding RNA of Ciona savignyi (Pacific transparent sea squirt), 75 nucleotides long. Lineage: Eukaryota; Metazoa; Chordata; Ascidiacea; Phlebobranchia; Cionidae. The record is from Rfam.
GUCUCUGUGGCGCAAUUGGUUAGCGCGUUCGGCUGUUAACCGAAAGGUUGACUGGUUCAAGCCCAGCCAGGGACG